Molecule: transfer RNA, 76 nt
Filed under: Nonomuraea fastidiosa
Lineage: Bacteria; Bacillati; Actinomycetota; Actinomycetes; Streptosporangiales; Streptosporangiaceae
Also listed under: 49 other names
Description: tRNA-Arg
Rfam family: tRNA
About the family: Transfer RNA (tRNA) molecules are approximately 80 nucleotides in length.
Source: RNAcentral
GCCUCCGUAGCUCAGGGGAUAGAGCACCGCUCUCCUAAAGCGGGUGCCGCAGGUUCGAAUCCUGCCGGGGGCACCA